CAGGGUUCCCGUAGGUGAACCCUGCGGAAGGAUCAUUGUUGAGAGAGCAUUGAAUGAUGGAUGGUUGUGAACGUGUCAACGUGCCCUUUCCUUGCCCCAUAUGUUGGUGGGCAUUUGACCGUAGCUCGGUGCGAUCGGCACCAAGGAACAAUGAACUUAGAAGCAGAGGGCCCUCGACGUGCGCGUGGAGCCCAAUGCGUCGGAGAUGCCUCGGAAUCAAAUGACUCUCGGCAAUGGAUAUCUCGGCUCUUGCAUCGAUGAAGAACGUAGUGAAAUGCGAUACUUGGUGUGAAUUGCAGAAUCUCGUGAACCAUUGAGUCUUUGAACGCAAGUUGUGCCCGAGGCCUUGUGGCCGAGGGCACGCCUGCUUGGGCGUCAUGGCAUCGUCGCCUUUGCUCCUUGCUUUGCUGGUGCCAAGCGCGGAAAUUGGCCUCGUGUGCCCUCGGGCACAGUCGGUCGAAGUGUGGGUAGUCGGCAGUCGUCGGGCGCGAUGGGUGUUGGUCGCCCUGUGCGUGAACUGAACGUCGUCCCCGUCGUGUCGGGAUGAGUCCUCAAGUGAUUGCGGCGUCGCGUGAAAGUGCCGUGUCCGUCAUAUUGUGGCCCCAAGUCAGGCGAGGCCCACCCGCCGAGUUUAAGCAUAUAAAUAAGCGGAGGAGGAGAAACUUACGAGGAUUCCCCUAGUAACGGCGAGUGAACCGGGAUCGGCCCAGCUUGAGAAUUUGACG
RNAcentral lists this ribosomal RNA (725 nucleotides) under Aframomum limbatum. Its description in RNAcentral is "eukaryotic LSU rRNA". The stretch from base 223 to 378 matches the Rfam family "5.8S ribosomal RNA". The record is from RNAcentral. Lineage: Eukaryota; Viridiplantae; Streptophyta; Magnoliopsida; Zingiberales; Zingiberaceae.